RNAcentral lists this ribosomal RNA (2259 nucleotides) under Staphylococcus pseudintermedius. Its description in RNAcentral is "partial 23S ribosomal RNA". It matches the Rfam family "Bacterial large subunit ribosomal RNA", at positions 558 to 2821 of the family's 2925-position model. The record is from RNAcentral. Lineage: Bacteria; Bacillati; Bacillota; Bacilli; Caryophanales; Staphylococcaceae.
GUGUGCUUACAAGUAGUCAGAGCCCGUUAAUGGGUGAUGGCGUGCCUUUUGUAGAAUGAACCGGCGAGUUACGAUCUGAUGCAAGGUUAAGCAGAAAAUGUGGAGCCGUAGCGAAAGCGAGUCUGAAUAGGGCGAAUGAGUAUUUGGUCGUAGACCCGAAACCAGGUGAUCUACCCUUGGUCAGGUUGAAGUUCAGGUAACACUGAAUGGAGGACCGAACCGACUUACGUUGAAAAGUGAGCGGAUGAACUGAGGGUAGCGGAGAAAUUCCAAUCGAACUUGGAGAUAGCUGGUUCUCUCCGAAAUAGCUUUAGGGCUAGCCUCAAGUGAUGAUUAUUGGAGGUAGAGCACUGUUUGGACGAGGGGCCCCUCUCGGGUUACCGAAUUCAGACAAACUCCGAAUGCCAAAUAAUUUAACUUGGGAGUCAGAAUGUGGGUGAUAAGGUCCAUAUUCGAAAGGGAAACAGCCCAGACCACCAGCUAAGGUCCCAAAAUAUAUGUUAAGUGGAAAAGGAUGUGGCGUUGCCCAGACAACUAGGAUGUUGGCUUAGAAGCAGCCAUCAUUUAAAGAGUGCGUAAUAGCUCACUAGUCGAGUGACACUGCGCCGAAAAUGUACCGGGGCUAAACAUAUUACCGAAGCUGUGGAUUGUCCUUUGGACAAUGGUAGGAGAGCGUUCUAAGGGCGUUGAAGCAUGAUCGCAAGGACAUGUGGAGCGCUUAGAAGUGAGAAUGCCGGUGUGAGUAGCGAAAGACGGGUGAGAAUCCCGUCCACCGAUUGACUAAGGUUUCCAGAGGAAGGCUCGUCCGCUCUGGGUUAGUCGGGUCCUAAGCUGAGGCCGACAGGCGUAGGCGAUGGAUAACAGGUUGAUAUUCCUGUACCACCAUUAUUCGUUUUAAGCGAUGGGGGGACGCAGUAGGAUAGGCGAAGCGUGCUGUUGGAGUGCACGUCCAAGCAGUGAGAUUGAGUGUUAGGCAAAUCCGGCACUCUUAAGAUUGAGCUGUGAUGGGGAGAGGAACUUGUUCCUCGAGUCGUUGAUUUCACACUGCCGAGAAAAGCCUCUAGCUAGAAUAACGGUGCCCGUACCGCAAACCGACACAGGUAGUCAAGAUGAGAAUUCUAAGGUGAGCGAGCGAACUCUCGUUAAGGAACUCGGCAAAAUGACCCCGUAACUUCGGGAGAAGGGGUGCUCUUUGAGGUUCACGCUUCGAAGAGCCGCAGUGAAUAGGCCCAAGCGACUGUUUAUCAAAAACACAGGUCUCUGCUAAACCGUAAGGUGACGUAUAGGGGCUGACGCCUGCCCGGUGCUGGAAGGUUAAGAGGAGUGGUUAGCGCAAGCGAAGCUACGAAUCGAAGCCCCAGUAAACGGCGGCCGUAACUAUAACGGUCCUAAGGUAGCGAAAUUCCUUGUCGGGUAAGUUCCGACCCGCACGAAAGGCGUAACGAUUUGGGCACUGUCUCAACGAGAGACUCGGUGAAAUCAUAGUACCGGUGAAGAUGCCGGUUACCCGCGACAGGACGGAAAGACCCCGUGGAGCUUUACUGUAGCCUGAUAUUGAAAUUCGGUACAGUUUGUACAGGAUAGGUAGGAGCCUUAGAAGCGUGAGCGCUAGCUUACGUGGAGGCAUUGGUGGGAUACUACCCUAAUUGUAUUGGAUUUCUAACCCGCAGCACUUAUCGUGCUGGGAGACAGUGUCAGGCGGGCAGUUUGACUGGGGCGGUCGCCUCCUAAAGAGUAACGGAGGCGCUCAAAGGUUCCCUCAGAAUGGUUGGAAAUCAUUCAUAGAGUGUAAAGGCAUAAGGGAGCUUGACUGCGAGACCUACAAGUCGAGCAGGGUCGAAAGACGGACUUAGUGAUCCGGUGGUUCCGCAUGGAAGGGCCAUCGCUCAACGGAUAAAAGCUACCCCGGGGAUAACAGGCUUAUCUCCCCCAAGAGUUCACAUCGACGGGGAGGUUUGGCACCUCGAUGUCGGCUCAUCGCAUCCUGGGGCUGUAGUCGGUCCCAAGGGUUGGGCUGUUCGCCCAUUAAAGCGGUACGCGAGCUGGGUUCAGAACGUCGUGAGACAGUUCGGUCCCUAUCCGUCGUGGGCGUAGGAAAUUUGAGAGGAGCUGUCCUUAGUACGAGAGGACCGGGAUGGACAUACCUCUGGUGUACCAGUUGUCGUGCCAACGGCAUAGCUGGGUAGCUAUGUAUGGACGGGAUAAGUGCUGAAAGCAUCUAAGCAUGAAGCCCCCCUCGAGAUGAGAUUUCCCAACUUC